This 216-nucleotide ribosomal RNA is filed under the name Glomeromycotina sp. RNAcentral's name for it is "partial small subunit ribosomal RNA". The stretch from base 40 to 216 matches the Rfam family "Eukaryotic small subunit ribosomal RNA", at positions 686 to 864 of the family's 1831-position model. Lineage: Eukaryota; Fungi; Glomeromycota. The record is from RNAcentral.
GGGUCAGUAGGUUGGUCGUGCCACCGGUACGUACUGGUCUCACUGAUUCCUCCUUCCUGAAUAACCGUAAUGCCAUUAAUGUGGUGUUGCGGGGAAACAGGACUGUUACUUUGAAAAAAUUAGAGUGUUUAAAGCAAGCUAACGCUUGAAUACAUUAGCAUGGAAUAAUGAAAUAGGACGAUCGAUCCAAUUUUGUUGGUUUCUAGGAUUGACGUA